AGUGUGUGUGUGUGUGUGUAUAUAUAUACAUAUAUAUAUAUAUAUGUAUAUAUAUAUAUACACACACACACACACAUA
This 78-nucleotide microRNA precursor is filed under the name Podarcis lilfordi (Lilford's wall lizard). Lineage: Eukaryota; Metazoa; Chordata; Lepidosauria; Squamata; Lacertidae. The record is from RNAcentral.